GCCUUUAAGACGAGGAUAACAAGUGGAAACAUUUGCUAAGACUGGAUAGGAAAUAGAAGGAUAACCUUUUAUUUUUAAAAGACCUUCUUCGGAAGGUAUGCUUAAAGAGGGGCUUGCGCCACAUUAGUUAGUUGGUAGGGUAAUGGCCUACCAAGACUAUGAUGUGUAGCUGGACUGAGAGGUUGAACAGCCACAUUGGGACUGAGACACGGCCCAAACUCCUACGGGAGGCAGCAGUAGGGAAUUUUCGGCAAUGGAGGAAACUCUGACCGAGCAACGCCGCGUGAACGAAGAAGUAUUUAGGUAUGUAAAGUUCUUUUAUUGAAGAAGAAAAAAUAGUGGAAAAACUAUCUUGACGCUAUUCAAUGAAUAAGCCCCGGCUAACUAUGUGCCAGCAGCCGCGGUAAGACAUAGGGGGCGAGCGUUAUCCGGAAUUAUUGGGCGUAAAGGGUGCGUAGGCGGUUAGAUAAGUCUAUAAUUUAAUUUCAGUGCUUAACGCUGUUCUGUUAUAGAAACUGUCUAGCUAGAGUAAGAUAGAGGCAAGUGGAAUUCCAUGUGUAGCGGUAAAAUGUGUAAAUAUAUGGAGGAACACCAGAAGCGUAGGCGGCUUGCUGGGUCUUUACUGACGCUGAGGCACGAAAGCGUGGGUAGCAAACAGGAUUAGAUACCCUGGUAGUCCACGCCGUAAACGAUGAGUACUAAGUGUCGGGGUUAAACUCGGUACUGAAGUUAACACAUUAAGUACUCCGCCUGAGUAGUACGUACGCAAGUAUGAAACUUAAAGGAAUUGACGGGACUCC
RNAcentral lists this ribosomal RNA (800 nucleotides) under 'Elaeocarpus zollingeri' yellows phytoplasma. Its description in RNAcentral is "bacterial SSU rRNA". It matches the Rfam family "Bacterial small subunit ribosomal RNA", at positions 128 to 922 of the family's 1533-position model. The record is from RNAcentral. Lineage: Bacteria; Bacillati; Mycoplasmatota; Mollicutes; Acholeplasmatales; Acholeplasmataceae.